AACGACUUUAGAAAUCGUGAGGGCCCA
RNAcentral lists this transfer RNA (27 nucleotides) under Hellenia globosa. RNAcentral's name for it is "partial tRNA-Leu". The record is from RNAcentral. Lineage: Eukaryota; Viridiplantae; Streptophyta; Magnoliopsida; Zingiberales; Costaceae.